GGGGGAGGGGGGCAACAGGAGUGAAAUUUGCUGACCCAGGGAGGAGGGGUCCCACUUUGGUGACUCUCCAUCAGAAGCCACAUCUGCUCUCAAUCAUCAGGGAUGAAUGUCCCAGAAUCGGCAAAACUAGAAUCCAUUUCGUUUUAGCUUCGUCUGGCCCAGGUGACCCGCUGGUAACGAGCAUGCAGAUGAAAUACCAAAUACGAGGAGAAAUGAGGCCAUAAACACACAAACAGACACCAGACAUAAAGUGCUUUUGCCGCACAACAGUGCAGAAGUAGGAGUGUCUUCAGCUGCCUAGAGAGAGUGAAGGGAUCACGUGGCAUUUCCUCUCCGGGGUCACCCUUCAUUCCCGUGAGACUGGAACAUUCCGGGGCCGUCUGGACCGGCCUGCCGAGGCACCUUCCUGCCAAGGGAUUCUGCCGUCACCCCACCACUGGCUCCUGACGGACAUGGAUGCAAAUGUAAGACUCCUGGGAACUUUCUGGAAUUUUGUAUGGCUGUGACAGUCAAUAGUGACUUCAGACAUACUGCGAGAACAUCAUUUGUAAAUUAAAAGUAUCAAAAACAUGCAAACUGUUUUAAUCCUGAAAGAGUUUUCUCUUCGCAGCUGCGCGGCUGUGCUGAGAUGCCCUUGCAGGGUACAAAAAAAACGUUUUUUCCAAUACGAAUUAUUCAUCUUUUUUGGUACAGUGGUGAAAUCUCUUUGCAAAGAAUAAUCUUUCAUCAAAUGUGCUGCCAGCGUUCCGUCCUGCUGCUGUUGAACUGAGGACUGACCCACACUGUUGUGUCCUUUGCGUGUGUUUGUUUGAAGCAUUCCUCCCCUCUGGGGGGCCAGAAAGACAAUAGUGUACAGCGGGGGUGAAAAAAAAUACCCUUUAUCUCAGGGGAUGGAAGAGGAGCCGCUGGUUUGUGUGUCUCUCUGCUGGUGCGUCUGUGUCUGUUGGAAUGAUCCACCCAGGUUUCACGGGGCUGGUGCUGCAAGAUGAGAGCGGAGCCCUGAUACUGUAGGUUUGCAGAUCCAUGGCACAUCUGCAAGUUUGGACACCCAUCCGAAACCUGGACCGUAUCUCCCCUACAAUGAACUUUUGAGGAACAUACUAUAAUAUCAUGCUAAUAAUUAUAAUAAUCAUCAUCGAUCCAUCCAUUCAUCCAUGCAUCCAUCCAAGUAUCCAUCCAUGCAUCCAUCCUUCCAUCCAUACCCACUUGUUUUAUGCACUGCUGCUAUUGUACAAUUGUACGGCUUGUGCUUGGGUAGUAUGAUAAAGCAGAAUAGGUAACAAUAGAACACAUAUUCCAAACUUCACAUACACAGCUCUGGUUGUGCAGUAAUUCUUCUAUAGGACCGAAACUUUUUGUUCAACGAGAAAUGUGAUGGAAACUUGUUUAUGCAACGGUAGUGGAACAUUCAAGGAACACUUUAUUUGUAGCAUAAGCAUUUAAAUCUCUGGAAAUGUGUUUAUAAAAUGUGCUCUGUUGUGCUGAAGUCUUCAGAGGGCUGCUCUCCAGAGUGCAGGGUUUGUUUCCCUCAUAGCUGGGAUUUUGUUUCAUAUCAUAAUGUUUAAAUGAGGUUGCUUUUUUCUGUGAGCAAGGCCUCCGGAAUGGUUGGUAGUUUUCUUGCUCUGCGCAACGAGAGUUUCGAGUUUGAUUAGGGCCCCAAUAACUGUCUGUGUAAGGCUGCUUCUGCCCCUUGUGUUUGAUAUUUGCUGCAUGUCAAGGGUCGAUUCUGAUGAAUUGCUGUUUGUUGCUGUGCGAUGGAUUUGUCUGCUGGUUCUGUUCAAUGCUGCCUACCUUAAAAACUGUUUGUUAAAACUGGGCAGAUCAGCUAGUUACGCGUUGCACAAAUCAGUGAUUUUGGUUUUCCAUGUUGCAUGAUCCUUGGGCAUAUUUUGAUCCAUUUUGGUCUUUCUGAUUAUGGGAACAAUGUCAUCUCUGCAGUGAGAAGCAGAUCACUAUUUAUUCAUGGAAAAAAAUCCAUUACUGUGCUUUCAUUACUGAGGUGUAGAAUGCUAAAAAAACAAAAUAUUUCUUUAUUUCUCAUUCUCCUGACAAUCUGACAAUUUUUGUCCUCUUCUUGGACUUAAUCACUCUAAAGAUUAUUAUGUUUUAGGUAUUUUAUUUGCUCCUAUGUAGUAAUAUGAAUCAUAAUUUCUGCGUGGCUAAAUCUGUGUGAAUGGAUGGCCAGUGUUGACAUCAUUCUUUUGCCAGCUCUGCUCAUUAAAAGUGUUUCCCUUGCAAGCUGACAAUGCAACUCUGUCAGUGUAGCUCUAGUGUAGUGUUGAAACUCAGAGUAGCAGAUCCCGUGACUUUCCAGCCUAGGUGCCAUGCAGGCAGCUGAGGGGCAACACUGCUGAUUUAACAUGAAAUUUAUUUGUGAGUCAGGCAUUUGUUUGUCUUUGAUGGUAUUUUACGGGGAAAUCCCCUGGGGGUUCCCAACAGGUAGCUGAUAGGCUCCUGUGCAGACUCUGCACUUUAAGCCUCCUCUCCCCUAAGCCUGACUGACCAUAAACUGAAAACAGGCUUCCUUGCUGGUUGAUCCUUUUACCACCCUGUGUUGCCUAUUACCUAGAAAGGCUUAAAUGGGGGCAUUUAUGAAAACAUGUGACCAUGCAAACUGUGUUCUGGACUUGUUUGAUCUCUCAUUGUAUUAUUUCGAGCCCACAAGUUUAAAUGAUCUAAAUUACCUAUGUGUAAAUGACCUCCCGGAUCCAUUACGGCACAGACUGCCUCUCCGCCAUUUUCAUUUUAUGGUCUAUGCAAUGUGACAUGUGAUUUAAUCAUGCAAUGAACAAAUGCAUUGUAUAAGACCUUUGUUGACAUUUUAUCAAAGCUUUGUCAUCUUUGGGAGAUGUGUUUUUCCAUAAGUGCAGACAUAUUAAGUAAAAGUUGAAUUAUUUUUUCAGUGGCUACACCAUAAAGUUUAUUUGCAGUGAUAAUGAACAUGUCCAUAACUGCAUGGACUUUUAAUAUAUGUUUAAAUUAAAUGCUUUAUAUAAGUCAGGUUUUAUGUCUAUGUACAAUUUGUCUAUAUUUUAUUUAUAGGUUAACAAUACAUUUAUAGGGUUCCUCCAGGUAUUCCAGUUUCAGUCAUAGCUCACAGACAUGCAGUGCAGUUAGGUGAACUGGUGUAUGUAAGUAUUUUGUGCAGUGGGAUCUCAGAGGAGGGUGCAUGUUGAUGUGACAGAUUAUGGUUCUGCAGUUUAAGUUUCAUCAUCCAAUCUGGGUUACGUUUACCACCAACUGUCUUUCCGUGACGGCACUCGGCUGUGGGCCGGUGUGUGACACUGAAAGCAGAGGAACCGCACUUUUUAGGUCUUCUGCAGAAAGUCGGGUAGAAAUAUUACAUUUUGUCUUCUUAUCAGUUGAUUACAGAUUAUUGUUCAAAUGUUCGCCAUUCCCAAACCACCCAAGGCAACCCUUCCACUGGUCGCAGUGCAUCUCAAGUUACUUUGGCUACUAGAUGAUAAGGGCUGUUUGUCUGUGACUUGUCUCCUCAUGCUAAAGAUAAUAAUUUUGCAGUGAGCAGGGUCUUCAUUAAGUGGUCAUUUAUUUAGUGUCUGGCAUAUUACUCUCAAAAGAGCAGUUUGCAAUUAUAUGACUCUGGUGGCACAGACAACAUGUUCAUUGCUGUUUUCUGCAGCCUUGUGGGGGGGGGGGGUAGUGUUUUAAAGCUAGACUUUAGUGGAUCCCUAGGAAACACCAUCUCUUUGCUCGUUUAUACCAACCCCAUGCUGCGUUUUGGCUUCUCAUCAAAGAAGACCAAGACCCAGGAUUAUAAAGCUAAAAUGUCCAAUACACCUACUGCAGUUGCUCCUUGAUCUUCCCAUUUAUGAAACUUCCGCAGAAGAAAAGAGCAUGCAUAGUGGAAAUGAUGAGGGGCCUUAUUUGACAUGAACCCAAACUCAUUAGUGCUUGUGUAAAUAACCCCCCCACCCCUUCCCCGUUAAAACAAACAGGUCUUUGAAGUAGCAGAGCAUGUGAAAGUGAAGUAUAUUUUAAAUUAUGUCAUUUGAAUGUUAAAAUGACAGUUUUAGAACCCAGAACUUAAAGUUUAUUAAGUAGAAUAUUCUGUCAUUAACACUGCUGGAUUCCAGUUUCAAUUCUGGAAGAUCCAGCUACAAUCAGAUUAUAGUACCAACGUAUGGUAACAAAACUGGUUAAAACUGUAGUUUGCUGCUUGUUGUGGUUUAAUUAAAUUCACCAACUUCAUUUCAUUUGUCUGUAAAGUACAAUGUCAUCUUCUUUGAUAUCUUGUAACUAAGAGCAAAAUCUAAAUGUUUCAAGGAAAUGGUUAGAAUGACCAUGGAUGACUUGUCUAAGGCUGACCCGGGUAGCCAAGGUCGAGUCGGUGGUCACUCACAUGCAGAUGCACUGCGGGACAAAAUACAGUUCAUAAGUUGGCUUGAACUGCACUUCUGCCGUUUGCUUAGGAAGACGGAAGGUAAGACAGAAUUGUGGAAGAAAGUCAAAGAAUCCUGAAGAAUCCCCCAUGAAAAACAGAAUGAAUAUCUGAACUCCUUUACUUUAGUGUGAGACACUAUUCUAUGUCAGAUGUUUCCCAUUAUGAAAAAGUCUUGGAUUUCUCUCCGUAUUUCCACUCUCAAGCUGAUUUUUCGAGGCAGACAUUCCCAGACUUUCAGAAUAUGAGGAACUCAAAGACCUUGUUGGUACUGUCAUAUAUGAAGCUGUAUAUGACUGUCCGCUGCUGUCUUCUCUCAUAUACGUUCAUUUGGUGCAUUGAAGACCUCAGGUUGGCUGGCCUGCUUCUGACAUCACCCCAUUCUUGUGUGCUGCUCUUCACCAGGCCUGUUUUGAUGGUUUGGAAAAAAUGUCCAUCUGCGUUUGUCAUUUAACUUCAGCUCUCUUUGUAGAAUACAGAAAAUGAACCCAACACAAGGAGACUGAAAAAAAUGAAAUCUUUUACUAUUCAGUUAUGUCUAUAGCGGUAUCUUUACCAGUGAGACUGAAUUAACUAAAUCAAUAUUUAAAAAUGUAUAAAAGAUGUUUACAUUUUAAUUAUGACUAUAUGACUAAUUAUAGAAAACAGUUCUGCCUGUGACAAUAGAGACAUGUGAGUUUUAUCAUGUUUCAAACAGACAUAACCAAGCAAAUGAACAAUAUACAUCUAAACACUUAGCCACUAGCUAGCUAAAUGACUAAUUUUUUAACAUGAAUUUAUUAAUGAAUUGCUGUGAA
Molecule: long non-coding RNA, 5196 nt
Organism: Paramormyrops kingsleyae
Lineage: Eukaryota; Metazoa; Chordata; Actinopteri; Osteoglossiformes; Mormyridae
Source: RefSeq, a predicted model, not a curated record